This is a long non-coding RNA of Accipiter nisus (Eurasian sparrowhawk), 3018 nucleotides long. Lineage: Eukaryota; Metazoa; Chordata; Aves; Accipitriformes; Accipitridae. The record is from Ensembl.
AUGACCCCUUUCCUCCUCGCAAGGCCUUCCCGACCCACCUCUCCCAGCCCAGCUCCCCGCCCCGGGCGCCUACCGCCCGCCCUCCCCUCACACGGCGGCUCCCACCGCCCCGCCACCGUCCGGGCACGGCUCCCUCCUGGCCCCACAGGCCUCUCCGCAGGUCUCCCCUUCGCGCCUGCCCCCGCCGCUGCCCCACGCACCCUGUCCCGGCGGAUCCCACCUCCCCGCCGCCGUCACCACCCACCAUCGCGGCCCGGCCAGGCCGCCUCGCCCCAGGCCGCUGCUGCCGCCCCCCCCCCCCCCCCCCCCCCCCCCCCCCCCCCCGGCCGGCGCGGUUCCGCAGGCGAGCCCGGGGCUGGGCAGGCCGCGGCCGCCCGGCUCCGCGGAGCGAGGCCGCCUCCCCCUUUACCGUCCGUCGGGGGGCUCGGGCCGGGCUGGGCCAUGGCUCCGGCGGGCGGGCGGCGCCGCCGCGGCCUCCUCCGCCUCCAGCCGCGGCGUCGGAGCGGGAACCGCUACGCCAGGGGGCCCCGGCGAGAGACGGGAGCUGCCGGCCUGGGCCUCCGCCUCCUCCGCCUCAUCCUGACAGCGGCCGCCGGCGGCAGGAGGAGGAGGAGGAGGAGGAGGAGGAGCGCCGCGCAGGCGCCCACGGCUUGAUACAUCAGGCAAACUUCAGUGGAGUUGUUCUUGCCUCACACCAAUGGUAAGAGGAAAGAGAAGCAAUUUAUUCAUGUUUAAUCUAUUUUGUGCCAGAUGUUUUGCUGGUAGAAAUCCAUAGCUCCACAGGCACCAAUUUCUUCAGGAUCUGGAAUGUCUGGCCCAAUUUCUUUCUCCAUUCUCGAUGGUCUGUGAAGGAAACUGCUUUAUUUUGCAAUAUUGAAUAUUCAUGCUGGGAAGUUAUAAGCAACAACAAAAAUAAUGAGAGACAGGGUCUCUAAUAAGCUUCCUGUCACAUGAGGCUCUGGUUCUGUUGAAGCAGAUGUGGUUGCUGACUUGUUUCCAAAACAUUUGUUGAGUGGUGAUUAGAUUCUGUCAUACUGAUGUUAUCUCUCUGUGAUCUCAUUCAAUACAAGUAGUUCUGCAAACAGUGAAAUCUUUUUUCCUAUGGAUUUAUGUCUUGGAUUAUGUUUCAGCAUGGACCCUCUGAUGUUUAAUGGGGACUGAGUUCAUUUUAGCCUGUUUCUUCAAUGAGAGAUGAAUAAUCUGUCUUCUUUAUUUUGCCAUCUACUUUCACAAAACUCACGGGAAUUAAGUAUCUCAAGUAUGACAAAUUUGAGUGGGAAUUAUGAACCAGUUAUGUAAACAAAUGUGAAGAUGAGUGUCAUUUUCUUACAAAAGCAAAAGAAUCUAUUUUUCAAUACUUUGUCCUUGUAUAUUACCUGCUUGAUUCUAUUCUGUUUCAUUUGUGAUCAAUCAUAUAAGAUAUGCUUUAUUUGUAAAGCUCUAUGAAAUAUGGGAAAUUUUUUUGCCAUAUUGAAUGCAUAAACAUUGUUAAUUUAUACUUGUUAUGGGCCACACAGAUUACAUUAUUUUUUAUUGUCCUCACUGGAGCAUGGGAAAGAGGUGACAUGCAUUUUAACUUACAUGUUUGCACAGGCAAAUGCAGAGAAAGAACAGAUUGUUUUUCCUUUAGAAUUAGACCUGACCAGUUCUGUUUUGGAAAGGAAAAAAGGAAACCUAGGAUUGAAAAGGACCUUUUGGGUUUCUGAGUCCAGUCUUCUGCUUCUGCAGUGAGCCAAAUUCCCAAUCUUUUUCAUAACAGAUUGUGCUAUUCAAAAAUACGCUUUUUCCUCCUUGUCAUCUGUCCUGUCCUCCCAAUUUCCUACUUUAUUUGGGCAUUUGCUCCAGAAUUUCAUUCUUUUGAUAGGAAGAACCUUUCUAAUUUCCAUAGUUAUUUUAUGCAUGUUUGUUCUUGUUCCAGGAAUGUCCCUUAGGUUGCUUAGUUCUUUUCUACACCAUCUAAGUAAACCGAGACUGUGCAUGUGCUCUGCUGUGCCAAGUCCAGUAAAGGAAGCAGGAGUUAGUCUUCAUAGCCAGCCCUUCACUUAUUUCCUUCAUGCUUUAGCUGUUUAGAGCAAAUUUUUCAUGCAUUUUUCAUGAUAUGUCUCAUUAAGCAGUGGGAAAGUUUCUGUGGAUCAUAGAUAAUUUGAGGAACUAGUCAAGUGAGAAGGGUGGUAGGAAGGUUGGCAGCAGUCUCAAUUAAGUGACUAUAGGAGGAUGAACUGUUGCACAGCCUAAGGGGGUCUUAUGAAAAUUAAGGAUACCAUGAAAAAAAGUGAGGAAAUCAUAGCCAUGUUAGUUUGUUUGUACUAAAUAAGAGGCCUUAAGUCUUUCCCUGUUCUUUCCAUGUUGAUCUUUCCAAAGUUGAUAACAUCCAGUCAACGCUUCACAUGGUUUGACAGGGGUUUCUUGGGGCCUGACCUAGGAAACUAAGCUUCCUUGAGUUUCAUGUGAAGGGACAGGGUUCUGUACCUUCAGCAAAGCUAACUUUUCUUUCACGUCCUUCUCAGUGACAAUAAAAGUCCAUCUUGAUUUUAUUCAUUUUACUUGUAUAACACAUCUGAUUAACCUUAUCAUUAUCUCUCUGAUUAAUAACCCUACUAGCCAUUCAAACUCCCUGCUUACUUUUUACAUUGGAAAUGUAACUUUUGCUUCCUCUAGAUUAAGAAAUAUUUAUAUGGCUAUUAUAAAACUUCAGCAGGAUUUAAGAAGAAAGCUUUAAAAAAAUCACAGUUGCCUCUUUCAAACGUCCUUGAUACAUUUUAAGUUACAAGAGUAAAGAAAAAUGACACCUAUCCAAUUUUCUGCUUACAUCUUGAGAACAUCUUUCUUGUAAGAAAGACAAUUCUGGAAGUCUCUCUCACUGUCUUUUUAAUCUUCUGCAAGGUUACUUUAGUUUGCUUAAUGUAAAUUGUCGUGGUUUAACCCCAGCCAGCAACUAAGCACCAUGCAGCCGCUCACUUGCUUCCCCCAUCCCACUGGAUGGGAAAAAAAAAGUAAAACUCCUGGAUUGAGAUAAGA